Molecule: ribosomal RNA, 313 nt
Filed under: Austroplebeia sp. symei_C36
Lineage: Eukaryota; Metazoa; Arthropoda; Insecta; Hymenoptera; Apidae
Also listed under: 4 other names
Description: partial 16S ribosomal RNA
Source: RNAcentral
UAUAUACUGUCUCAUAUAUAUAUUUAUGAAUUUAAAAUUUUAAUAAAAAUGUUAAAAUUUAUUUAUGGGACGAUAAGACCCUAUAGAAUUUUAUAUUAAUUUAAUUAUUUAAUUAAUAAAUAAUUUAAAUUAAUAUUUAAUUGGGAGGAUUAUUAAAUUUAAAAAACUUUAAUUUAUAAAAACUUUAAUUAAAGAAAAUAUUAUGAUCUUGAAUUUUAAAUUAUUAGAAUAAAUUACCUUAGGGAUAACAGCGUAAUAUUUUUUUAUAGAUCUUAUAGAAAAAAAUGAUUGCGACCUCGAUGUUGAAUUAAGA